Molecule: ribosomal RNA, 917 nt
Filed under: Listeria monocytogenes
Lineage: Bacteria; Bacillati; Bacillota; Bacilli; Caryophanales; Listeriaceae
Description: partial 23S ribosomal RNA
Rfam family: Bacterial large subunit ribosomal RNA
Source: RNAcentral
GACCAUCUCCCAAGGCUAAAUACUCCCUAGUGACCGAUAGUGAACCAGUACCGUGAGGGAAAGGUGAAAAGCACCCCGGAAGGGGAGUGAAACAGUUCCUGAAACCGUGUGCCUACAAGUAGUUAGAGCCCGUUAAUGGGUGAUAGCGUGCCUUUUGUAGAAUGAACCGGCGAGUUACGAUUUGUUGCAAGGUUAAGCGGAAAAAGCGGAGCCGUAGCGAAAGCGAGUCUGAAUAGGGCGCAUAAGUAACAGGUCGUAGACCCGAAACCAGGUGAUCUACCCAUGUCCAGGAUGAAGGUAAGGUAAUACUUACUGGAGGUCCGAACCCACGCACGUUGAAAAGUGCGGGGAUGAGGUGUGGGUAGCGGAGAAAUUCCAAUCGAACUUGGAGAUAGCUGGUUCUCUCCGAAAUAGCUUUAGGGCUAGCCUCGAGGUAAAGAGUCAUGGAGGUAGAGCACUGUUUGGACUAGGGGCCCUUCUCGGGUUACCGAAUUCAGAUAAACUCCGAAUGCCAUGUACUUAUACUCGGGAGUCAGACUGCGAGUGAUAAGAUCCGUAGUCGAAAGGGAAACAGCCCAGACCACCAGUUAAGGUCCCCAAAUAUAUGUUAAGUGGAAAAGGAUGUGGGGUUGCUUAGACAACCAGGAUGUUGGCUUAGAAGCAGCCACCAUUGAAAGAGUGCGUAAUAGCUCACUGGUCGAGUGACCCCGCGCCGAAAAUGUACCGGGGCUAAACAUAUUACCGAAACUGUGGAUGAACCUCUUUAGAGGUUCGUGGUAGGAGAGCGUUCUAAGGGCGGUGAAGUCAGACCGGAAGGACUGGUGGAGCGCUUAGAAGUGAGAAUGCCGGUAUGAGUAGCGAAAGAAGGGUGAGAAUCCCUUCCACCGAAUAUCUAAGGUUUCCUGAGGAAGGCUCGU